RNAcentral lists this ribosomal RNA (253 nucleotides) under Acidobacterium sp. RNAcentral describes it as "partial 16S ribosomal RNA". It matches the Rfam family "Bacterial small subunit ribosomal RNA", at positions 524 to 776 of the family's 1533-position model. The record is from RNAcentral. Lineage: Bacteria; Pseudomonadati; Acidobacteriota; Terriglobia; Terriglobales; Acidobacteriaceae. RNAcentral also lists the same sequence under 1 other name.
UACAGAGGGGGCAAGCGUUGUUCGGAAUUACUGGGCGUAAAGGGCGCGUAGGCGGCCUGUUAAGUCGAACGUGAAAUCCCCGGGCUCAACCCGGGAACUGCGUCCGAUACUGGCAGGCUUGAAUUCGGGAGAGGGAUGCGGAAUUCCAGGUGUAGCGGUGAAAUGCGUAGAUAUCUGGAGGAACACCGGUGGCGAAGGCGGCAUCCUGGACCGAGAUUGACGCUGAGGCGCGAAAGCCAGGGGAGCAAACGGG